Molecule: long non-coding RNA, 939 nt
Filed under: Monodelphis domestica (gray short-tailed opossum)
Lineage: Eukaryota; Metazoa; Chordata; Mammalia; Didelphimorphia; Didelphidae
Description: lncRNA (ENSMODG00000031010.2)
Source: RNAcentral
AAGCUCAUCAUACUAUGUGAAGGUCUUGGAUUUUCCUUGAAAAGGAAAUUAGCUUAAGAUAUAUAAAUAUAUGACUCCUUUCCCCAUCCUAUUUUCUGGGUAACUCAUUGCAGUAGCACCAGAGGGAAAAUCCAUAUUUUUGAUCCCCUGUGCUGUAGCUGAAUUAGUUGCUACUGAUGCUCCAGUUUUGAAACCACAUGCUUCAUCCUCAUUCCAGGAACUCUUGUUGGUUGUCCAGAUGUCUAGGUUUUCAGGAAUUCACCAUAUCCAUCCAGAGUGUUGAGGUUUCCAUAACUCUCAUAACUUGGACCUCUCUAUUGUUACUAUCUUUCAGAGUGAGAGCUUAUACAACUGAUUUUCCAUAGCUAAGCCCAGGAACUUGUAGUCCAGGAACUUUUCCUCUCCUGUCAAGGUGCCUUCCUUCCCCAGGGAAGCCCCGGUGCUCUGCAAAUAUGCGUGACCACAUGUUUCCAUAACAUGGAUACUCUCAUCUCCAUCUUGCUGAGGGGGAAACUGAGGCCCAGAGAAGAUAUUGUUUCUGAAAUCCUGAUAAGCUUCCAGUGUUGUGAUCCAGUAGUCAAAGUGGACAGCCUUCUAAUGGGUUGUGAGGAGUUCUGGAAAAGAGACUGGAUGACCAGGAGUGACUGGGAAAUCUCCUUCCCUCAAAGAUGCUGCUCCAAAGAGAAAACAAAAUGAGUUAAUCCCACCGCUGUCUGAAAGGGUGACAGAAGAGAAGAGAUCACCCAAGAAGUAGGUAAGGAUUUGUGGAAGGGAAGGACCCAAGGGAAAUUCUGUGCUUCUGUGACCCUCAGGGUCCUAAAGCUGGGGAGGUCUCCAACCAGACAAGUAAGGCUUUCUUGUCCAGGUCCUACGGUAAGGACUGAUGGCACCACUGAUCUGGAGACACUCGCCUGCUCCCUUGGCAGUUUUUCCUUUCUG